UUUGCGGCGGCCAUGGCCCAGGUGAGACGCCCGGCUCCAUUCCGAACCCGGAAGCUAAGGCCUGGCACGGCGAUGGUACUGCACUCGAUAGGGUGUGGGAGAGUAGCGCGCCGCCGCAU
RNAcentral lists this ribosomal RNA (119 nucleotides) under Bifidobacterium minimum. The record is from RNAcentral. Lineage: Bacteria; Bacillati; Actinomycetota; Actinomycetes; Bifidobacteriales; Bifidobacteriaceae.